This 257-nucleotide ribosomal RNA is filed under the name uncultured bacterium. Its description in RNAcentral is "partial 16S ribosomal RNA". It matches the Rfam family "Bacterial small subunit ribosomal RNA", at positions 524 to 776 of the family's 1533-position model. The record is from RNAcentral.
UACGUAGGGGGCAAGCGUUGUCCGGAUUUAUUGGGCGUAAAGAGCGUGUAGGCGGCCAGAUAGGUCUGUUGUGAAAACUCGAGGCUCAACCUCGAGACGCCGAUGGAAACCAUUUGGCUAGAGUCCGGAAGAGGAGAGUGGAAUUCCUGGUGUAGCGGUGGAAUGCGCAGAUAUCAGGAGGAACACCAAUGGCGAAGGCAGAUCUCUGGGCCGUAACUGACGCUGGAGGAGCGGAAAAGCAUUGGGGAGCGAACAGG